This 305-nucleotide ribosomal RNA is filed under the name uncultured bacterium. RNAcentral's name for it is "bacterial SSU rRNA". It matches the Rfam family "Bacterial small subunit ribosomal RNA", at positions 334 to 655 of the family's 1533-position model. The record is from RNAcentral.
GAGGCCUACGGGGCGCAGCAGUGGGGGAUAUUGCACAAUGGGGGGAACCCUGAUGCAGCGACGCCGCGUGGGUGAAGGAGUGCUUCGGCAUGUAAAGCCCUAUCGGCAGGGAAGAAGCAAGACGGUACCUGACUAAGAAGCCCCGGCUAACUACGUGCCAGCAGCCGCGGUAAUACGUAGGGGGCGAGCGUCAUCCGGAUUCACUGGGUGUAAAGGGAGCGUAGACGGCCAUGCAAGCCAGGGGCGAAAGCCCGGGGCCCAACCCCGGGACUGCCCUUGGAACUGUGCGGCGAGAGUGCGGGAGG